This 269-nucleotide ribosomal RNA is filed under the name uncultured prokaryote. RNAcentral's name for it is "partial 16S ribosomal RNA". It matches the Rfam family "Bacterial small subunit ribosomal RNA", at positions 524 to 792 of the family's 1533-position model. The record is from RNAcentral.
GACGAAGGUGGCAAGCGUUGUUCGGUAUUACUGGGCUUAAAGAGUGUGUAGGCGGAAGGGUAAGCGCUUUGUGAAAGCCCCCGGCUUAACCGGGGAAUUGCUUGGCGAACUGCUUUUCUUGAGCCAAGUAGGGGUGCACGGAACUGUUGGUGGAGCGGUGGAAUGCGUAGAUAUCAACAGGAACGCCAGUGGUGAAAACGGUGCACUGGGCUUGUGCUGACGCUGAGACACGAAAGCGUGGGGAGCGAACGGGAUUAGAUACCCCUGUA